Ctenopharyngodon idella (grass carp) is the source of this 6215-nucleotide long non-coding RNA. RefSeq lists it as uncharacterized. The transcript is spliced from 2 exons. The record is from RefSeq and is a predicted model, not a curated record. Lineage: Eukaryota; Metazoa; Chordata; Actinopteri; Cypriniformes; Xenocyprididae.
GUCCCACCAGCACCACAUAAACUGGAGUGUGGUAUCACCAGUCACAGCUGAGGAGAUCAAAGUGGCUCUGCGCACUAUGGGCAAAACAUCGGCUGGGAUGGACAGUCAGUCUGCCCAGGAAGUGCUGUCAUAGCAUCUAAUGAACAUCAUCCUGGCCACAGAAAGUCUCCCAGCAUCCCUGUCAUGUGCCAGAGUGGCGUUCCUACCCAAAGCUGAAUGCCCAGAAGAUCCAAGCAACUUUCGACCAAUAGCCAUUUCAUCAGUUUUAGCCUGUGCCCUCCACAAAGUUUUCUCCAGGAGGAUGAGAGAAGGAUUCCAGUCCUCUCCACUUCAAUACGCUUUCCUACAGAGAGACAGCUGCCUGGAGGCCUCCUCCCUACUUCAUGCUUUGUUGCGAUGCACACAUGAUGAAACUCGACCGUUGGCAGUUGCGUUCUUGGACCUGACCAAGGCUUUUGAUGCAAUAUCCCACCAAGCUAUUCUGGCAGCGGCAGAGAAAGCUGGAACACCGCCUCCCUUGCUUAAGUACCUGGAACAUCAAUGCAUCAAUGCUAUUGCAGAAUUACAUCUUGGUGCCUUAGCUACGAAGUGCAGCAAGGGAGUCAGCGGGGGGUCCCGAUUUCACCAAUCCUCUUCAUUCUGGCUAUGGGGGAGGUGAUUGAAAAGGCCUUCCCUGAGAUCGGGGUCACGCUCGGGGAGCAGCGUAUUGGAGAAGUGGCGUACGCCAAUGACCUUAUUCUAUUAGCUGAGAGCCCAGAACAACUUCAGAAGAAACUUGAUGGCCUUCAGGAAGGGAUUCAUACAGCCGGUAUGUCCUUGAACAUCAAGAAGUCUGCAACUUUAACAAUUAUGAGGGAUGGGCGAAGAAAACACCAUUGCACCACUUGACAAGAUGAUAAGGAGGGAGACAAGAACAUGGCUUCGUCUACUGAAGGAUACGCCUUUGGGCUUGCUGCACGCACCAAUUAAAUCAGGUGGCCUGGGGAUCCCAAACCUGGGAGCGUCUAUACCCCUUCUCCAGAAAAAGAGAUUUGGCAAGCUCCUAACUAGCCAAAAAGUUCGUUUAAGACCAUUCUACGGAGAGUCAACUUACCAUGUAAGAUUGGUAAAGUGAAAUCUUGUGAAGUCUUUUAUCCAACUACUUUUCUUAACGUUAGAUUAGUAUUAUUGGAUGUCAGCAUAGUUAAAUUCGCUAGCAAGCCAUGUAGCAAGCCAAGAAGCAAUUUUUUUCUUGUUAACUAAGUUAGCUAACAUUAAUUAAAUUUAAUUCACAUGUAUUUGUAUAGCGAUUUUCACAAUACACAGGCCUAUGGUUUCAAAGCAGCUUUACAGAAGAUGCAUGACGUGCUGUUACUGUAGCAAGAUUAUUUUUAGGCUAUAGCCUGUUUGUUGUACAAAUGUAAUAUACCCUAUAGUUGUAGAAAACUUAGUACAGUAUUGGGUUAAGUAAUUUGUUUAUAUUACUAUAGUUGUCACAGCAACUAUAGAAUUACCACAACAAAUGAAUUCAAGUACUUUACUAUAGUAUGGUUCAAAAACAAUAUAGUAUUUACUAUAAAUUACUAUAGGUUUUUUUUUUUUUUUUUAAUGUGGGGUGCUUAUUGGCCAUGUACGUACGCUUAGAUGGGUAGGAUCGUGUCAUCAUAAUUUGAAUGUAAAAAUGUAUUAUUGUUAAAAAUAAUUGUACUACUUGUGAGUAAUAUCUGUAAUAUGUAAUUAAUAUUAGCCUAGGUUUAAUUUAAAUUCUUUUGUAGCUUUUAGGACGUGUUUUUAGAGAGUAAUUACAAAUCCAAUCUUCUUUCUAUUCACCCCGGUCCGAGUGAAGACUACACAAAUACAGAAACGAGGUGCAAAAACACAAUCAACUAUCCCAGUGGCAUUCUCAUCAGUGUCAAAAUAUAAAGCAGAUUUGCCAGAACAAAUCUCUAAAGAAAAGAUGAUUGCCAAUUGGAUUGGACGCUCUGGUCUACCUGCUCGUACAGUUGAGGAUGAUGAUUUUAUCCUUAUGAUAGAGAGCAUCGAUAAGAAGUUGGCAGUGCCGAAGAAAACAAAAAUAAACAACUUAGUUGACCAACUUUACAAUGACGAAAAAAAAUUCAGAGAACAACGUGCCACAGCUCGCAAAAUAAACUUGGCUUUGGACAUAUGGACCAAAAAAGGACUUACAGCAUCAUUUCUCACCAUUAGUGCAUGCUACUUUUGUACUCAGGAGGAAAAAGCAAAGCCUAUAUUGCUGAACCUGGUUCAGCUGUCCCACCCCCAAACAGCAGACUGUAUAAAAACUUGUGUUGACAGGUGCACACAGGAGUAGAGAAAAUACCAAAAAACAAGAUAUUAACUGUCAUAACUGAUAAUGGCAGCAACAUGGUUGCAGCAUUCAAAAAUACUGAACAGGAUGACCACAGUAGCAGCACAGAUGAAGAAUCCCAGGAGGACAGUGAAGAAAACUCAGAGGAUGUCGAAGACCAAAAGUAGGUUUGGAGCACUAGAGAGGAUGCCCUUUGUUGUACAUACCUUGCAACUAGUGGUAAACCUACUUCAGAAAGAAACAAGUGUCAAACGCCUCCUAGACAGAGUUCGACUACUUGUUAUGCUCUUCCGCAAGUCAUCCGUGGCAACAGAGCAACUGCUGCAGCUGUCUGGACUCUCUCUGGUCAAAGACUUCCCCACUACAUGGUCCAGCACCUACCAGAUGAUAACACGUCGUAUUGAUGCGAAGGACUCACUUACUCAAGUAGCUGAUAGGAUGGGCUGGGAUUGUCUGCUGCCAAGUGAAUGGACUACACUAACUACACUCAGAGAUCUGCUCCUCCCCUUUGCUGAGCACACCCAGAUGCUCCAGAUUGACACAAUGUCCUUAUGUCUGGUGGUGCCUGCACUCCUGGACCUGAGUGCUCACCUGUCUGAGUUUCCCCAGACCCAAGGUUCUAGCGCACAAGGACACAACUUCUCUGGCAAAAAAGAUGGAGGCAAAUCUAGACCAACGCUUUAGCUGCUUCCUUAAUCCCAGUGAUUCAAAGUUCUCACCCCUUGCUACUGCUGCAUGCUUCCUCGAUCCAACGGUCUCAGCUGAUGCAUUCAUUGAAAAUGAUGACAAACACAUUCAGGAGCUACUGAAUAGUGCAGAACAGUACAUUGCUCAAAUGGUGUCCCCUGUAAUACAGGAGGAAGCUGCUGAAAAUGAGGGAGAAGAUGAGAUAUGUGAGGAACAGGAGGAGCCACAUGAAAAGCGACCUAGAUUUAGAUUUCUAACGAAAGCAAGUGCAAAGUCAAACCGGCCAUCUAGACCUAGCCACUGCCACAGAAAGCUCUGUGUCAGGCAGGAAAUUCAAAAAUUCAAGGAGCAGCUGUCACAGCCCAUAAACAAAGGGACUGCCUUUGAUUUUUGGGCUGCACGUGGCUCUACCUAUCAGCUUCUAAAACCCCUGGCCCAAGACCUUCUCGCUGUGCCUGCAUCUCCGGCAUUUGCUGAGAGAGUUUUUAGUAUCGCAGAUGACCUGAGUCAGGGCUGUCGGAAUCGAGCCAGGUUGAUCUUGGAAAGAAACGCUUUUCUUAAAAUUACUAUACUGACAUCUUACUAUGUCUGUUGUUUGUUUGAAGAUGUCACCUCUGUGCUGAUGUUAGGCCACUUUGUUUCAACUUUUUAUUUUAUUUUGUAGGUAGCAGAAGGUUAAAGUAAGUUUAAAGUAAGAGUUAAAGUAACGGGUUUGUGAACAACUUUUAUAAGUUGCUCACUUGCAAGUUAUUACCCUCUGCCAGUAACUUUUCACUGACACAAUUUUAAUCAAUGUAGAGUAUAUAAUGGAAGGAUUAGCAAACUAAAAUUGUCCAUAAUAAAUGUAGUUACUGGUUUGAAUUGUUCUUUUGUAUAAGUCCAAAUACAAAGUAAGCCUGUAAUUUUUUGUUUAAGAUUUCAAAUGUUGUUUUGCUUCCAAUUUUGUGUCCACCUUUUAAUGGUUUUAUCACAUUGGAAUUAACAUAACAAUAGUUACAAGUACUGUCCUCUUAAAUGCAAAGGUAUGUCAGACUCAGAAAUAUGUUCAUCAGCCACAGACUGCUUUUGAACAUCUGUGUGUUCUGUUCAUUGCACUUUUAUUUGAAGUUUCAAAAUAAAUGUUGUUUUUCCAUAACAGUCAAAGAAAAAAAUGUUCUUGAGCUAUAAUACCACUUUUAUCUAUCCUUAAUGUAUGAUCCUACAUUUUAAAUUAGAAGAAAGUCCAGAUUAUAGGCUAUCCAACUAAGGAAAAGUGAAAAUUGCACAAGUGCUACUGCUAAGAGUGCAAUGUCAUUACAGCCUGUUACCUUGAUUCAAAUUUCUCAUAAGCUUAACUGAAUUGGUCUAAAGAGAGAAAAAUAAUAAUGACUAUUUUUGUCUAUAGACUAGAUAUAAAAUAGCUACCAAAAUUAAUGUCGACUAAAACUAGACUAAAAUAUGAAAGACUAAAAUGUGACUAAGACUAAAGAGCAUUUAUGUCUGAAGAGUAAGACUAAUUAAACAAUGGCUGCCAAAAUUAACACUGUUCUUCAGGUUGCACCUCAGAGGCAUUAAACUCCGUGGAGGUGUACUUAACACCAAGAAGAGGGCCUCUAGGGGAAGAGGCAGAAAUCCGGAGGAGACUAAAGCCCCGGGUAUACUUCGGCAGUCCGCGUUCGCCGCACACCCCGUCCGCGUGCAGCCCAAAUUUCGAGACCACGCAGACGGUCGUGUAUUGAAGCAAGUAGAAAAAAUGCUUAGAAGAACAGCAGUAAAGACUUGGAUCGAACCCAUUAUACCAAUGAAUAGAAGCUUCAUUAAACCCGACCUGGUAACUGAUUCUGGUAACAGGAUCACAAUCCUGGAUAUAUCUGUUGUUGCAGAUCCGCUGAUGGAACUAACCCACAGGCUGAAAGUGGAGAAAUAUGGCUCCUGGAGAAUGCUGCAGCGAUAAGCUCCUGGAUUGACACAAUUAAACAUCUACCCAUAAUACUGUAAAGUUGAGGAUUGAUGUAUGGCCCCACUGGCAGAGGUAUUUGGAUUUUUGGGGCCCUGGUGAAGUUUUGACAUGCCCUGACAUUUGUGCUUUUUUCAGUUGUUUUCAGUUGUAUUUUUGAGAGAAUAACAUUUAUGUGUGGUUAUUGGAAAAAAAAAAGAGAAAAAAAUUAAGUCACUGAAAUAAGACCACAAAACAAAUACUAAAUAUGUGUCCACAAGACUUCUGGGUACUGAAUUGUGAAGCCUAGAAUUUUUGCUUCAAAAUGAUGUGAAAACCAUCCUGCCUACUUAUUCACAUAAAACAAUAUAUUGAUUUAAAUUUUGUAAGACACUUUUUGUUUAGAAAGAAAGUAUGCGUGGAGGUGUGAAUAAUCCUGAAUAAUGCUGUGAUUCACACCUGAGAAGACAAAGACCCGCAUAAUGAGCCUUUCAGACAGGUAGGCUAUGUGAGAGAAAACUAAAGAAUUUGAGAACAAAGUAGUUUAUUUUGUAGUUUAUUUAGAAUAUAGUUAAUAAUAUAAAUGAGAUACAUUUUGAAUAAAUUUGAGUAUACAGUUUUACCUGGAAAUAAAUCCUGUUCAAAGAUAUAAGCUUACCUGGCAUUCCAAGGUGUUUGGUGUUUUAUGCACUGAAGAAAAAAAAAAAAACCUUUCCUGCUUCCAGUCAGUGAUCUCACCAUCAUAUUAAUUCAGAAUGUCUGAUGUGAGCCAAUAUCUGGUCACUAUGAUUCUCAAAUCUGUGAGAUAAAAGAAAAAAACCCUCUGUAAGCAUGCUGAUAUCUAAUCAUAUCAACUAUUGUAUUAAUGUUAAUGUAACAUCCACUCUUAACAGAAAACAUGAUUUUUGAAAUCUCAUGUAUGCACGUAUUAUUGCACAUCAUGUGAAGAAAAUUUUGUAUAGGACUGUUAUAUUUUAAAGUGCCCCUAUUAUGGUAUUUGAAAGGUUUCUAUUUUUGUUUUGGAAGUCCCCAACAACAGGUUUAAAAGCAUGCAAGGUCAAAAAACACUUUAAUUGUCUUAUAAUAUACAUUUAUUUUUACCUUAUUUGCUCAACGACACCCAAACGUUUCACUCAACGAUUCAUUUUUCCAAACCCCUUGUUUGCGUGAUGCUAAUCUGCGGUGAUUGGUCAGAUGACUUCUGCUGGUUAACACGAAGUACAGUAUAUAGUGCUUGCAUCACUUACAUUAUAUUAUGAUAAUGAUGGUGCUCCGCUCUGUUCUAAAAAUAAAGACUUAAAGGAA